GUACACUCCUGCGGGAGGCAGCAGUGGGGAAUAUCGGACAAUGGGCGCAAGCCUGAUCCAGCCAUGCCGCGUAAGUGAUGAAGGCCCUAGGGUUGUAAAGCUCUUUCACCGGUGAAGAUAAUGACGGUAACCGGAGAAGAAGCCCCGGCUAACUUCGUGCCAGCAGCCGCGGUAAUACGAAGGGGGCGAGCGUUGUUCGGAUUUACUGGGCGUAAAGCGCACGUAGGCGGACUAUUAAGUCAGGGGUGAAAUCCCGGGGCUCAACCCCGGAACUGCCUUUGAUACUGGUAGUCUUGAGUACGAGAGGGGUGAGUGGAAUUCCGAGUGUAGAGGUGAAAUUCGUAGAUAUUCGGAGGAACACCAGUGGCGAAGGCGGCUCACUGGCUCGAUACUGACGCUGAGGUGCGAAAGCGUGGGGAGCAAACAGGAUUAGAAACCCGAGUAGUCCC
This 449-nucleotide ribosomal RNA is filed under the name uncultured organism. RNAcentral's name for it is "partial 16S ribosomal RNA". It matches the Rfam family "Bacterial small subunit ribosomal RNA", at positions 331 to 797 of the family's 1533-position model. The record is from RNAcentral.